AGAAGUAAUCGAUAAAAAAGUAACAUUACAUGAAUUGCAAGUAAACCAUGAAAAAAUAUAUGAAAUAUCGGACUUCUUUCUAAGAGUAAUUAUGUCGCCGACUCCAGCGAGGUGUUUUAAGGCAUUUCCGCUGAAUUUUCCCACGACGAAGCAUCGAAGAUGAAAUGCGUUAUUUCUGCUAUAGCAUAGUGUUGUUGGCAUAAUCGAAUUCAAAGUUCAUCAAGAAUCUACAGCCUGUAGUACAGCUGGCAGUAAUGUUAAUCACACAAGAUAGAACUUACAGAGCAACUUCAAAACAACAGCGCACUUACAUGUAGUAGCACUUCAGACAGUUUCAGGAAUGAGGAAAAGAAACAACCUCCUGAAACAACCACCAACCUUCAAGUAUAAAAGGAUGACAAAUGUAAAUGCAGGGCCAGACGGAAAAUAGCAGUGAAGUUUGUUGGUAGAAAAUUAUACACCUAUAGACAGUAUGUGAAAAAAAGAAGAAAACAAAGAGGUAAAAGGGUACUGUACUCGAUGUUGUUUCAGUUCCCUCAUAAGUCAUGUUCACAAAACAGCUGCUGCAGCUCCACACAAAAGAAUAUAACCUGAGUACCUGAGGAAAACCUGUUUCCAAUGCUAUCAAUUAUAUUGAAAAGAAGGAAUUGCAUUUAAAAAAUUGUGUAUCAGUCAGUUGAAAUGAAGAGCAUAGUUCACAGUUCAUACAGCAAAACAUGAUAACGUAUAUUUAACUUGUGGAAUUAAUGUGAUAACUUCAUGAUUGUAAAUAAAAUGAGGGCUGUAUGAUAUCUGUUUUAUAUAAUUAAAUAGUAAACAGUUAGCGUAAAGUGGUACUACAAGAAGAAGCGAAUGAAUUAUAAGGCCAGAGUCAACAGGAGAACGUUAAUUUCAAGAUUAUAAAAGUUUUUGAAAUUACAUGUGUGUGUUUAAUGUAAUUAAAUACUUAACACUUGGCAUAAAGUGGUAUUACAAGAUAAAGUGAAUGAAUUAUAAGGCCAGAAUCAAGAGGAGAAGGCUAAUUUGAAGGUUAUACAAGUUUUUGAAAAUACACCGGAGCUGUCAUACUUAAGUGUCAAAGUGGUAUUACCGGAUGAAGUGAAAAAAGUCCAGAACCAUUAUAAUUUCUUGAAACUACCUUAAAUACUGUAGCUGAGAAGUGAAUGUUGAUGUUUUUGCUUUGCUUGAAAAUGAUAGAAAUUAUGCCAAUUUCAAUGACGGGCAUAUUUUGUGACAGUCUGGCACUCUUGUUAAUAAAUGUAAAUUUUUA
Molecule: long non-coding RNA, 1270 nt
Organism: Mercenaria mercenaria
Lineage: Eukaryota; Metazoa; Mollusca; Bivalvia; Venerida; Veneridae
Exons: 4
Source: RefSeq, a predicted model, not a curated record